UCUCUUCACACCUUGAUGGUGAUACGAGUUCACCAUUAUCUCCAUCUCCUCGAACAACUUAUGUAACGGAGUCUCCUCCACGAUUCUAGCCUCGUGUCUGUGCCCAUCGUAGUUGUCAUAAUCUAUAUGAUUUGUCGUUGUCAUCGUAGUUCCGAGUUCUUUGUCGAUGUCUUGGUAAAGAGUUCCACCUGCGGCAACGUUGAGAAUCUGAGAGCCACGACAAAUGCCUAAGAAAGGAAUGUUUCUUUCGAGACAGAGUCUAGCUAGAGUCAGCUCAAUGCUGUCUUUCUCUCGGUCGAUGGUCAUGUCCUCUGCAUGCGCCUUCUUAAUCUCCUCCAUGUCUUCUGGCGAGAGGUCUGAUAAUUCAUCGUCCGCGUAGAGAGAAGGAUCGACAUCUUCUCCUUCGCAGAGGAGGACACCAUGAAUAGGCUCGAAGCUCUGGAGCAUAGAAUGGAUCCCAUUGACACGUGGGACAAUGACAGGGACGGCACCGGAGGAGACGAUGAGAUCGAGAUGGUAUUCUCCUACGAAGUCCACGUACUUGUUCUUGCGG
Long non-coding RNA from Arabidopsis thaliana (thale cress), 553 nucleotides. RefSeq annotates it as other RNA. The transcript has a single exon. The record is from RefSeq. Lineage: Eukaryota; Viridiplantae; Streptophyta; Magnoliopsida; Brassicales; Brassicaceae.